GGGGCUCCGGCACCGGGGCAAGGAGUGCUCAGGAUGGCAGCCAGCAAGGGACACAGAGAGAGAACUCCUCAGCAAACUUCUCAUUUGUCUUGACUGUGCCAUUCGUGGUAUGAAAUAAUCCUCCUGGCAGCCUGGGUCAAGUGCCCGGGUCUCGCUGCUCCUCAUCCCUGCACCUGGCGAGCUGAAAACACUGAGACCUUGAAUCCCACACGCCAUAGCUGGCUGUAAAGUAAAUAUUUUCACAAAUUCAGACACCAGAGUCUUUUAAAAGUGCGGCUUCCCUAAGCCUUAGAAGAGACCUUACUGAAAAGUAAAAUUACUGAAAGAGAAGUUAAUGCCAUUUUGUUCAAACGAGGACAAUAUCAAAGAGCAGGAGACUGAAUAUUAGGAGAAAUUUCUUCACCGAAAGGUUCAUCAAACAUUGGAACAGGCUGCCCAGGGCGGUGGUACAAUCACCUUCCCUGGAGGUAUUUAAAAGCCGUGCAGACGUGAUGCUGAGGGACAUGGGUUAGUGGUGGCUUUGUCAGUGUUGGGUUGAUGGUUGGACUUGAUGGUCUGAAAGGUCCCUUCCAACCUGGAUGAUUCUAUGAGAGGGUGGCAAGAGUGUGUUAGCCCCGUGGUCACAACCUGCCUGUGCAAGCUGAAUCCGGGAGCAAGUCGCUGUACGUUAGGUGUGUCCAUAGUCCAGUCCCUGAUGCCUGUUUCGCUCCUAUUUAUAGGCAGUAUCUGAUUUGACACCAGUUUAUUGCUGGACUUGCAAAUAGCUUUUAUAAAAUGUUUGGUAGCAGGUCGAUACCCUGCUGACAGCCCGUGAGAUGUGCGAGAGGUACCCGGGCAGUAGCUGUUGACGUUUCAUGAUGAAAAAUAUACUCUGGAGAAACCAGUAUUAUCUACUCUGGGAGAAAAGGCUGUAAUUCUGUCUCUCCUUGGGGUGGAUGUUAUGGAUCAGCCUGUGAAGAUUACUCUGAUCCUGGAAAUGGCCGGUGAGCCCUUCUGGUCCCAUUGCAGUGCACUGGAGGGGAUGGAGAUCGGGAUUCCCACCGUGGCCUGGAUUUGCUCUUGGUCUCGCUGUCCUGCACAAGCUCAGACAGCACGAGUGUUACAGAAAGCCCAGCCUGGCCUGCAAAACAUGCCGGUGCCGGAGGUGUUGGACAUCCAGGAGGAAAAGCUGAGCUGGCUCCGGGAGCCGCAGCAGCCCCCCUUCCGCAGCGCUCAGCGAGCGGGGGAACCAAAGUACAAGUCUCUACUCCAGGAACCAUUGCCAAGGAGAUGAUUAUUCAUUAACUCGGGGCGGGUGAUUGGUCAGGCUCUAAAUGAAUUCCUGUGGGCUCCCUUGCACAAGCAGAGCCGUGCUCCUGCCAGCACUCCCGCAGCAGGUCCUGUUCUUCAGCUACACAGGUUCAUGAGGGUCACACAAUUCACAGCACAAAGCACCGGCCUGACCUGCGGAGAGCGAUCCACUGGAGAGCCACGGAGCCGCAGGAAAGCCUUUCAUCUCUGCGUGCGCCUGCCAGUUGGCCACUGCUGUGUCAGAAAUGCCUCUGUUGUUAGUGGGGAACGGGAAUGUGAUAAAGAAGAAUUUCAGAGCACGCCAUAUGCAAAGCCUCAGCUUUCUCCCACCUCCAGAAACCGAUGUGGCUCCAGAACCAGCUGUACGAUAAAAAUUUUCUGUAGCCACCUCCUUCCCCCAGACAUCGUACUCCUCCGUACAUGCCCAGGGUGGAGGCCAGCUUGCGAGAACAGCUGCCACACAAUCAACCUGCAGCAAGAAAAGCAUGGGAAGCAGCCUGGUUUCUGAGGUCUUGCAGAGAGCUGGUUACUUGGAAAUGGGAACUAGACCUGCUAGCCUUGGACACAAUUGAAGCCGUUUAGAGCUGCCCUGGCAUUUUCACUGCAUUCAUUACUGCCGUGCCAGAAGCGCAAACAGAAUUUCAAGGACUCGCGACGAAGAACAGAAAAAUCUAAGCGUGACACCAACCGCAGCCAGCCAUCGCGCAGCUGGGAAGGACAGCGAGCACCAAGCGCUGCCGGAUUGCGGCUGGAAGGGAGCCUGUGAGCCUGCAACGGCCAGUCAUCGCCCGUGCUGGAAGGCAGGCGAAAGGAGAAAUACAAAUAGCAACGGAAGCAGUAACGUAAACAUCUCACAAGGGGGGUCAAAACUGCUUUAUUAUUUUUAUCAGUUGGGUUAGAGUGAAAAAUGAGAUGUGCUCGGAGUGUUUUUGCAAAUAUCUAUCAGGUCUGUGGUUAUGAACUGCUAGGCUUGAUGCAACGCUAAUAGUUGGUAAGCGGUAAAUUACCCACGUAUUUCCUAGACAUGUGAGCUCAGCUCGGAGUGUUAAAUGGUUGUUGUAGUAUUUCCUUAGCAAAGACAGCUACUUCUUUUUUCUCAGUAGCUUUUCCAAGCGGCACUCCUUCCUUUCCCACCUUCUCUCUGGGGGGCUCAGAGGCCAUUAAACACAGAAGCUCCACACACAGGGUUUUUUCUGUGUCCCAGGAGUUGGCUUAGUCAUUUAAUGAUUUUGUAUGCCAAUAUCUAUAUCUCUUUUCCUUCAGGGAGGAGGAAAAGGUAAAAGAUCUUCGAUCCUAACACUAUCUAAGUUAAAGCCAUGCUCCCGUUGAACUCACACGGGGGAUUGGGUAACCUGCAGAGAUUUCUAAGGAAAACUGUCACGGAGCUGAACCCGAAGCUAGAGGUUGCCAUUGGACCUACAUAAUAACUGCCCUGUCUCUGCACUGGAGGUUACCUGGGGCUCCAGGGGGGCAUCGAUGGCACCCCAGUGUCACCCAGGGUAGUGACCAGCCCACAUGAUAACACCCGUGUUAAGCUAGGGACAUCCAGCACCUCUGGAAGGUGUUUCUCCUCUCUGGCAUUUUGCGUGGUUGCUCUGGCGGGACGUGUAAUCUCACUGUCUGGUUGUUGCAGGAAGAAUAUUCUUACUUGGUUUCCAUGUGGCAGCAUUGGACCUGAGACAGCUUGCUCAGAACAUGAGUGCCUGGAGGCUAUGAGUCCUCAGUCAGCUUCAGGAAACACUUCCAGCCAUCCUCGAUGGCCUUCCUUCUCCAAAGCCUCUGCUUAGCAGAGAGGUACCACAAUUUACCUGAAAAGAGGAAAAGCAAGAUGAUCGUCACCUAAGGUUUCCUUGGGUAUUACCCAGCACUAAUGAGUUAGCAAUCGGGUUAGCUAUGAUAUGGCCAAUUUUGAAUACAAACAUAGUUCACCUCACCCCCCCACUGCAGUUAGAAAGUGCCAGCAAGGAUGAAGAAUAAAUACGCCCGCCAUUAAGCUAAUGAGACCCAUAUGCUUGUGCAGUCAAAUAAAAGUGAACUAAAUGUACUGAAGAGCCAAAAAGCAGAUGAAUGAACCGCGACAGACAUCCUGAAAUCAUGUUUAAAUUGCAAAUAUUGAUAUUUCUCACACUUUUUUCCCCAUAUGUAAAUCACAUCUAAAUAAGGCAUCUGGUGGAAGAGAACAUAUUUUUGCCUUUAAGCUCAUCCUCAAAUGAAUGAAGCAAACCCAACUUGAGAGAAUACCUACAGGCUGCUACAAUUACUGCAGUCUGCAGACAGUUGGGGAGUCGCAAACAAGACUUGCCAUCAUGACGGAAGCUGAGCCUGCAAGUAAUUUAUAUCCAAAUCUGCAGAAAUUCAUCUGAGAAUUUUUUCCUAAAAAUGUGAGCCACACAAUUUUCUCCCGGGAUGAAACUGCAAACGUUGGGUUUGGGGAAUCCAGAAAUAGUUGCAGUCAGAAAGCACUUUAAUACCAGAGAAAUUGUCCUCUUUCUUCUGUUUUUUCUACAUGUUACUUAUACAGAAGAAGAAAACAAUGAAAGGAAAACCAAACCACCAGCUUCUAUGCACUUGAUGUUACUUUUACAGGAAAGGUAUAUCUCGGGAAGAAUUUUCCUUCCUUUGCUACAGGGUUGGGCUACUUGUUGCUGUGUGCAUGCUCUUCUAGCGGCUGCUGUCACCGCCAUCUAUUGCUUUGCAUGUCUGACACAUUAACCCAUUUUUCUCAGCCAGUGAUGUCAUUUCAUUGGGCAAAUUAUGUCUUAUAAAUACUGCUGGCAGAAGGCUAUGAGUUUUAGGCUUCCCUCCAGAAGCCAAAAUUCUUCUCCUGCCCUUUGACGGUGCCACUUUGAAUUGAUGGAGCUUACCAGCUAAAUUUGUGGUGGAUGAACCAGCCCUCCUGCCCGCUGAGAUGCGAGGAUGGAGUUUGCAGUCAUGCUGAGCGUGGUUCUUACAGCGUAGACUCCUGGGUGCUGACGUUUGUGAUUAAGAGCAAUGUGGCUGAAUUGUGAAUUUGGGGACUACUCUAAAGGAGACUGGGGACACAGCUCUAUGUGGUGGUGGCUGCUUGGGCUAAGAGGGUUCUU
Molecule: long non-coding RNA, 4373 nt
Organism: Chroicocephalus ridibundus (black-headed gull)
Lineage: Eukaryota; Metazoa; Chordata; Aves; Charadriiformes; Laridae
Exons: 7
Source: RefSeq, a predicted model, not a curated record